AUUUGCUCGGCGUCCUGGCUGACCAAGAACGCGUCGGCGCCGAGGCGCUCGAGCGCCUCCUCGCGCUUCCUCGGCGACGAGCUGAUUACGGUGACGGUCAUCCUGAACGCCUUGCCGAACUUGACGGCCAUGUGGCCGAGGCCCCCGAGGCCGACGACGCCGAGGUGCUUCCCCGGCGCGUUGAGGCCGUACUGCAUCAUCGGGCUGUACACCGUGACGCCGGCGCAGAGCAGCGGCGCCGCCCCGGCGAGAGACAGGCUCUCCGGGACGCGGAGGACGUAGUCCUGAUUGACGACGAGCACGUCGGAGAAACCCCCCUGGGUGGUAGCGCCGUCGUAG
This 339-nucleotide ribosomal RNA is filed under the name Triticum aestivum (bread wheat). RNAcentral describes it as "partial small subunit ribosomal RNA". The record is from RNAcentral. Lineage: Eukaryota; Viridiplantae; Streptophyta; Magnoliopsida; Poales; Poaceae.